CAGCAGCCGCGGUAAUACGUAGGGUGCGAGCGUUAAUCGGAAUUACUGGGCGUAAAGCGUGCGCAGGCGGUUUUGUAAGACAGGCGUGAAAUCCCCGGGCUCAACCUGGGAAUGGCGCUUGUGACUGCAAAGCUAGAGUGCGGCAGAGGGGGAUGGAAUUCCGCGUGUAGCAGUGAAAUGCGUAGAUAUGCGGAGGAACACCGAUGGCGAAGGCAAUCCCCUGGGCCUGCACUGACGCUCAUGCACGAAAGCGUGGAGAGCAAACAGGAUUAGAUACCCCAGUAGUCCCUGUCUCUUAUAC
This 301-nucleotide ribosomal RNA is filed under the name uncultured bacterium. RNAcentral's name for it is "partial 16S ribosomal RNA". It matches the Rfam family "Bacterial small subunit ribosomal RNA", at positions 509 to 807 of the family's 1533-position model. The record is from RNAcentral.